RNAcentral lists this long non-coding RNA (211 nucleotides) under Brassica rapa (field mustard). RNAcentral describes it as "long non-coding RNA (BRAP_LNC008770)". The record is from RNAcentral. Lineage: Eukaryota; Viridiplantae; Streptophyta; Magnoliopsida; Brassicales; Brassicaceae.
ACAAUCCCAAAACCGGGCAGCUACUUCAGGGGUCACAAAACUAUGUGUUGCCCCCGAGUCGAACAAUACAUGUGUGGGUUUACCAGCAACAUGUAUGGUUCCUGCCACAGUAAUCCAAUCAACAAUAUCUUAAUCACAAAAAUACUAAUCAAAAUUCUCACAACCAUCCAUCAUCAUCCAAAAUUUCUAAACGCGCAACCUAGCGAUCAAG